UAAGUUUCUGUGUUAUUUCACUUCAUCCUAACAUUUCUUUCCCUUUGUCAGUUCUUUUAGGCAAAUGCAAAUGAUUCACGUGGUGAGGAACGAGAGGGGAAACGCACAACAAGCUGUCCUUUUCCAGUGUCAGGCCGGCUCACUUCCCACUUCCCAGUUCACAACCAGAACCUAAAGCAUGGUUUGAACAGGAAUCAGCAAGCAGACGACAAGAGACAGACAAGUCUGACCUGAAGUUUGUGGUCCAACUUAUUUUUUUCCAAUGAUGGUGGGCUUCAUUUUUAGCAGCAACGUUUUUUUUAGAGUUCAUCUACUCUGCCAAACCGCAGCAUUGAGGAUUUUGUUUGGGAGUCCUAGACCACCAAUAAUCGGCAUUGCCUAGGUGCCAAGCCUGCUGGAUUGCACCCUGGGCUCCCAGUCUAAGGCAACCUGUGCAGGGAGAAUGCUGCAGUCAUGCCCGGUUGCAUCCCAGUGCUUCCUACAAACUGAGCAACACAACUGGGUGCAGCUCACUUGCAAGUCUGCCAAGUCUUUAUAGCUCCUUAAAUCCCACCACAUCCUCACUCCUUACACACAUUCACCACUCUCGGGUACACAUUGUAAAAAGUCAGUCAGUCCCAGCUAUUUGGCACCACAGAAGUAGCAAAACACCUAGGAGCAACCUAAGCUCAGAAGAGAUUCGGACACCACCAGUACAAACAGAGAUGCGGAUUCUUCAUUGCUCUUGCAAGGAGGCUGCAUUCUGAGCAUGGCAGAGCUGCCCUAGGCUGGCUGCUCACACAGUAAGGAAGAACUAUGCUUUCAGUCCAAGGAAGCGUCCACAUCUGUGACACUAACCUUUGCAGAUGACACUCACAUUUGCAGACAGGGUCCAGAAUCCAGGAGACCCACCUGUAGCUGCUUUGUCCUCCUCUCGCCUUCAUAAGGAGCUGAAACCAGGACAUGCGGAGCAGCUGAACAUCUGGAGAGGAGGUGACUUCCUGUCUCCACUGUGUUCCAUUUUCAUUCUUUUCUGGAAAUGGAAGCUUGAAAUUUGAUUCUGACAGGGUCAAUUUUGGAUGUAAAAAUCAACAGAGAAAUCAACAGAGAAGCACUUGCUCUAGUCUCCUACAAUAAGUGAUUCAGCACUUGUGGCUGAUUGCUGAAAACCCUCUGAAGCUGAAUUUUAUUGGCCAGAUUCAUUGAUUUUUUUAAGACCAGAGGAGAACAGUAUCAUUUGGUCUCAGCUCCUUCAUACCAGAGACCAUAACUUUAACUGAAUUACAGCAUAUUUUAAAGAACAGUAAAAUCUUGUUUGCAUAGAAAUUUACAUAUGCUUUGGUAAGCUACUCUGAAGAUUAAAUAUUAUUCUAUUUCAACAUCUGCACCUUGAUUCUUUCCCCCAGUUAUUCAGUUUGAUAAUUUUAAUCUACUGUGUCUCUUACUUAAGCUGGGGAAGUGGUGGAGUUUCUAUUUCAAUAGAUACAGGACAAUAAUCCAUCCAGAACCCCAUGAAUGUGCCAGUAAGUCUGCAUAAAAUAUGGGUGGAAGCUCAUCUUGGG
This 1541-nucleotide long non-coding RNA is filed under the name Calidris pugnax (ruff). Its description in RNAcentral is "lncRNA (ENSCPUG00000002649.1)". The record is from RNAcentral. Lineage: Eukaryota; Metazoa; Chordata; Aves; Charadriiformes; Scolopacidae.